GACGAACGCUGGCGGCGUGCUUAACACAUGCAAGUCGAACGGAAAGGUCCUGCUUUUGUGGGGUGCUCGAGUGGCGAACGGGUGAGUAACACGUGAGUAACCUGCCCUUGACUUUGGGAUAACUUCAGGAAACUGGGGCUAAUACCGGAUAGGAGCUCCUGCUGCAUGGUGGGGGUUGGAAAGUUUCGGCGGUUGGGGAUGGACUGGCGGCGUAUCAGCUUGAUGGUGGGGUAGUGGCUAACCAAGGCUUGGAAGGGUAGCCGGGCUGCGAGGGUGACCUGACAAGUUGGGCUGGGAAUGAGGCACGGCCCCGAACGGGAGGGGGGGGAGGGGUGGGGUGUAUAGGGGGCGGAGCGCAAGUCCGACAAAGCCGCGUGGGGGGUGAGAGCCAGCGGUUAGGAUUCCGCUUCCGCCUUAGCCGAGGAGUGAAUGACGGUAAUGGGUAAAGAAGCCCCGGCUAACUACGUG
Molecule: ribosomal RNA, 468 nt
Filed under: uncultured bacterium
Lineage: Bacteria
Description: partial 16S ribosomal RNA
Rfam family: Bacterial small subunit ribosomal RNA
Source: RNAcentral